Molecule: small nuclear RNA, 60 nt
Filed under: Peromyscus maniculatus bairdii (prairie deer mouse)
Lineage: Eukaryota; Metazoa; Chordata; Mammalia; Rodentia; Cricetidae
Source: RNAcentral
GGGCCUAGUUGGCAGCACAUAUACUAAAAUUGGAACGAUACAGAUUAGCAUGGCCCCUGC